This is a long non-coding RNA of Prinia subflava (tawny-flanked prinia), 541 nucleotides long. RefSeq lists it as uncharacterized. The transcript is spliced from 3 exons. NCBI's taxonomy places the organism in Eukaryota, Metazoa, Chordata, Aves, Passeriformes, Cisticolidae. The record is from RefSeq and is a predicted model, not a curated record.
GGGACCACCAAGCAGGCAGACAAGGGCUCUCAUCCUGGAGAGGAGAAGUGAUGUCUCUAUUAACUUGGUUGUCUGCAACUCUCCAAUCAGCAAUGACCCAGGAAAUCACAAACUCUCCAUUAAUGGCUUUGGUACUGAUGAUUUAUAGCUCCACAAUGACUCAUGUUCCAGCAGAAAAGUAUUUUCAACUCAGCUCCUUUUGAAAACCCAUCAAUUAUUAUGAUAGUCCCAGUGCAUCCUAAGGACAUUUAAUUAGUGCAAACACAGUUUAUUCAACCAGGAACAGAGUUCCUUUCUCAUCAGAAAACAACACAAGAUAUCUCAUAUCUGCCCUCCUGGGAAGCAAUUUCAAAUAUUUGUGAGGUAAGAAAUAAUCAUUCCAGGCUGAUGUUUUAACUGCAUUUUGAGCUGCUAGACUUUGCCUCCUGCCUGCCUGUUUCAGCUUUUCCUUCCUUGCUGCCAAGCCCUGCUUCCAUGCCAUCUAGUCUAGCCUGGCCAUUUGCCACUUCUCCUUCCACCCUCUGCAGCCUGGUGAAGGGAC